CAUUUCUCAUUUUUAUAAUUUUUUACUUUGUCUAUUCUUCGAAUCACUCCCAACUACACACAACACAUGUCUAUCCCCUCUCUCUCUCUUACACACGUCAUCAUUGCAGUUUCACCUCUUUCUCAAUUUUGUUCCUCCAGAAGGACAGCGGGUCCGAAGCUCUGGAAGAUGCAAUUGAAGCUGAAUUUGAAGCCGUUUGAUUUCGUGGUGAUAUUUUGUGCCUAUCCUGGAACCCUAUUUAAUAGUUUGUGUUUUGCGUUUGGGACUUGAAUUUGAGUUUUGCAGCAGUGAAUAGCUGAGCAGAACUUGAGCACCAAGUAUUGUCAACUCAAAAUAGCAAGAAAAAAGGACAUUGCAGCACGCAACAGAGCAAACAAAGGAUAUUGCAGUGCACACAACAAAGCAGCCUAAGGACAACGCGACAAAGAGCAGAACAGGCAACCAAGUUGUUGCGCAUGAAGGUCAAAAGAUCAUUCUCGAGAAUCAAUGCUAGAAUCAUUCUCGAGAAUCAACCUUAUCCCCAUAUGGGAAAAUCAAUGCCCAACAUUUGGUCAAGCUAGAAGGAGACAACCUCCAUCAAACGAUGCAGAGGAUGAAUUUAGUUAAUCACAAGAUUGUUAUUGUGUCAUCCUGCCUAUAAAUAGAAGAUCAAACGAAGGCAUAAAUAGUU
RNA transcript from Gastrolobium bilobum, 670 nucleotides. RefSeq lists it as uncharacterized. The record is from RefSeq and is a predicted model, not a curated record. The transcript is spliced from 3 exons. Lineage: Eukaryota; Viridiplantae; Streptophyta; Magnoliopsida; Fabales; Fabaceae.